RNAcentral lists this ribosomal RNA (465 nucleotides) under uncultured bacterium. RNAcentral's name for it is "partial 16S ribosomal RNA". It matches the Rfam family "Bacterial small subunit ribosomal RNA", at positions 339 to 795 of the family's 1533-position model. The record is from RNAcentral.
CUACGGGACGCAGCAGUGAGGAAUAUUGCGCAAUGGGGGAAACCCUGACGCAGCGACGCCGCGUGGAUGAUGAAGGUCUUCGGAUCGUAAAAUCCUGUCAGAUGGGAAGAAAUGCUAUAUGUCUAAUAUAUGUAUAGUUUGACGGUACCAUCAAAGGAAGCACCGGCUAACUCCGUGCCAGCAGCCGCGGUAAUACGGAGGGUGCAAGCGUUGUUCGGAAUUACUGGGCGUAAAGCGCGCGUAGGCGGUCUGUUAAGUCAGAUGUGAAAGCCCAUGGCUCAACCAUGGACGUGCAUUUGAUACUGACAGACUUGAGUACUGGAGGGGAUGGUGGAAUUCCCGGUGUAGAGGUGAAAUUCGUAGAUAUCGGGAGGAAUACCGGUGGCGAAGGCGACCAUCUGGCCAGAUACUGACGCUGAGGUGCGAAAGCGUGGGGAGCAAACAGGAUUAGAUACCCUAGUAGUC